UAACACGAGGGGUGCAAGCGUUGUCCGGAAUCACUGGGCGUAAAGGGCGCGUAGGUGUCCCGAUAAGCUCUGAUUGAAAUCUCCCGACUUAAUCGGGAAAGUGGUCAGGGAACUGUCGGGAUCGAGUUUGGCAGAGGAGAGUGGAAUUCCUGGAGUAGCGGUGAUAUGCGUAGAUAUCAGGAAGAACACCGAAGGCGAAGGCAGCUCUCUGGGCCAAUACUGACGCUGAGGCGCGAAAGCGUGGGGAGCAAACAGGAUUAGAUACCCUGGUAGUCCACGCCGUAAACGAUGAGCACUUGGUGCUGGAGGAUUUGACCCCUUCAGUGUCGUAGCUAACGCGUUAAGUGCUCCGCCUGGGGACUACGACCGCAAGGUUG
This 377-nucleotide ribosomal RNA is filed under the name uncultured bacterium. RNAcentral's name for it is "bacterial SSU rRNA". It matches the Rfam family "Bacterial small subunit ribosomal RNA", at positions 521 to 896 of the family's 1533-position model. The record is from RNAcentral.